Molecule: long non-coding RNA, 532 nt
Filed under: Homo sapiens (human)
Lineage: Eukaryota; Metazoa; Chordata; Mammalia; Primates; Hominidae
Description: HSALNT0296550
Source: RNAcentral
GAGAGACAGAGAGAGCAAAAAAAAAGAGCAUGAGGAAUUUGAAGACUGAGAGAUGAGUUGUGUAGCACCAACAUUUUCUUUCUGCCUGACCUUCAUACCUGAUGAAUUAAAAGCAUAGGAUGUUUGGAAGAGUGAGAUAGGGGACACAUUGAAAACAGAGAGGCAAUCUGAAGGCUACCUUGACGCAUCUGCAAAGCUCCCAGAUUCUGACUUUCACAAGACUUGCUUUCUGUUUCUGGGCCUCGCCUAAACAGACUGCCAGUCAUCCGAACCGUGGCAGGAUGGAGAUGUUUGUGUAAGGUAGACUCAAGUUUGCAAGACUCAAGAAGGAAACCACCAAACUAAUUUUACUUUCACUUAAACCAGAUUGAAACCAAGACUUGAAGAAUUAAAAACUUUGACAUUAACCAUUGAUUCACUCCAAUGAAAUAAUUGUGUUAUAGCCAGAAUCAUGGUGAAAUUGGAACAAGGCUUUUGAUGGGAUUUUUAAUUGAGGGACUUAUAUUAAAUUGGAUAUUUUCUUUAAUGAACA